This is a long non-coding RNA of Scleropages formosus (Asian bonytongue), 494 nucleotides long. RefSeq lists it as uncharacterized. NCBI's taxonomy places the organism in Eukaryota, Metazoa, Chordata, Actinopteri, Osteoglossiformes, Osteoglossidae. The record is from RefSeq and is a predicted model, not a curated record. The transcript is spliced from 3 exons.
CGAGCUCCGUGGAGCCGCGUGACAAGUUUGUUGACUGUUCCUUUCGACGGCGUUUCCUGCAAUUAACGAGAAGUAAACGGUAAAAGUGCCGGUGGUGCCAUGUGACGGCCAGCAGGGGGCGCUGGACUCUGGCGCACAGUCAGCAGGCAGACCUCUGAUUGCUUCCAGUUGUGGGACCCGCCAGGAUCGGAAUCACCUGGGGCACCGGAUGGCGUCGGGGGGCUUGCGCAGGAGACAGAGAAAUAGAAUAUGAGCUCUCCUCCAGAAACGCACAUGCACGGCUUAGUUGUAACACAGCACCGAGCGCAGCUGAUCACAGGUAGUUUCAGAGUUAAGGUCAUAUCAGUUAAGGUUAAAAGAUCAUGGUUCAUUUCUAUUUUAUUUUGGAUUUUAAAUUUUGGAUUUGACUACGGGCAUAUACUUUAGGGCAGCGUUGCUGAAGGCGUGUUCCUUCCCAUGAAGCACAGGGAAUAUGCAAGUGAUGGAGCUUUCAU